This is a long non-coding RNA of Priapulus caudatus, 305 nucleotides long. RefSeq lists it as uncharacterized. The transcript is spliced from 4 exons. The record is from RefSeq and is a predicted model, not a curated record. Lineage: Eukaryota; Metazoa; Priapulida; Priapulimorpha; Priapulimorphida; Priapulidae.
GCGGAAAAUGCCGAACCAAACGGACAGGCUGCAACCGUACCGAUCGACGAGCAUAUACGAGACUCGCCCAGGCGGCUUUCCUUUCACGAUGCCGGAUUUCGGGUGAUGUUAUCCAACCAAUUCGACCCGAAGACCCGUAUGAGAACUGCCUGCAGAGUCGUCAUUAUGGAGAAACAAUUGCUCCGGAAUCAGAGUCGAGUUAGGCGGCUCUCCAUGAAGAGCAAUAGAUGCUUCCAGCAGCUAAGCUUUGAAAGUGAGCUCGGCUCGUACACCAAGGCUGUGUAUGGAAACAUCACGACACCCGA